CCGCCGACCCUUUCUCUUUCUCCCAAAUAUUUCUCCAUGCCAAACAAGAAGAAUUCACCAUGGAAAACAAUUAUUUGGGGCAUGGAAGCCCUUAGGGGCAUGAGGAUUUAAUGUGAGGUUCUCCUUGUUUGAUUUGGUCAAGGAUUAAGUCCAAGUCCAAAUGGUAUUUGGAAUCCAAUCUGAAUUAGGUUAAGUCCAAUCCCAUGAGACUCAUAAAAUCCAAUUCAAAUCA
This 232-nucleotide long non-coding RNA is filed under the name Elaeis guineensis (African oil palm). RNAcentral describes it as "long non-coding RNA (EGUI_LNC021707)". Lineage: Eukaryota; Viridiplantae; Streptophyta; Magnoliopsida; Arecales; Arecaceae. The record is from RNAcentral.